CCCGUGACCACGCCCUGUUGCUGGUGAAGGUGGGUUUGCGCGUGCCGCGAGGUGGACAGCCUUGGUUGGGUUGCGUUUGGACUCCCAGAUGGGGAAGCGCCUGGGCGGGAUCCAGCAUCCCUGAGCGCGUGGCGCUUUGGUAGCCAGUUGCUUCCUGGCGGGCGGGCUUUCGCGAAUGCCUGGCACUUCUGCUGGGCCCCGCGUGCUGCUCUGGGCUGGCCUGAGAGCCAAGCCUCCUCUGCACUGGGCUGCCCCAGGUAGACCGCGGGAACAACACAAUUGAGGCGUGGCAGAGCGUCUCGGCGGUGUCUCGCUUCAUUCAUUCAAGAUCAAGUUGCUGAUUUUAGGGUUAUUAGGUCGGAUUGAUAGUCAAUUAUUUUUAUGUCUCCGGGCUAGGAAGCUGUAAACAAAAGCAAAAGGAAGUUUGAUGAAGGAAUUCUUAUCUUUGUAGAUAAGAAUAACACGAGUGCUCUUGUUCUUGGAAGGACUUUGAAAUCAGCAUUCCCUCCUUGGUCCCUGACUCAUUCAGAGUUAUGAAUUUUAAAAUGCAGCCAGUGAAAGUGGGAAGAGCACUGAACUUGGAGUCAGAAGAGCCUUUCAAGUUAUUCCCAGUGACAAAAAUCCAUCUUCCUCCCAUGAGACUCAGUUUGCCUAUCUGUGGGGUGAGGUUAGGCUUAAGAUGUGCUAAACAACACACUAAGGGUUCUUGCUGCCAUCUGCGGUUGUCUCUUUAUGGGACAGUGCCUUCUUCACUUACCUACAUCCACAUAGAUGCCAUCUUCAUGACAUGAAACUUUCUUGGGAGAAGCUAUGCUUCUGCCCAGUGUUAAUGAGUUUACGUUGAUUUAUUCUACACCUUAUUAACUAAUAAAGUUUACAAAGUAAUUUGGACUAGAUAGAUGAACUCCCAAGUUUACUGUGAAAUUUUAUUAAUCCUGAAGUAUUUAAAUUUUUAUGUAAUAAAGGAAAAACCUUAUAUAACCAAA
This 986-nucleotide long non-coding RNA is filed under the name Mus musculus (house mouse). RNAcentral describes it as "RIKEN cDNA 1700123M08 gene". Lineage: Eukaryota; Metazoa; Chordata; Mammalia; Rodentia; Muridae. The record is from RNAcentral.